RNAcentral lists this ribosomal RNA (422 nucleotides) under uncultured bacterium. RNAcentral describes it as "bacterial SSU rRNA". It matches the Rfam family "Bacterial small subunit ribosomal RNA", at positions 354 to 773 of the family's 1533-position model. The record is from RNAcentral.
GUGAGGAAUAUUGGGCAAUGCCCGCAAGGGUGACCCAGCAACGCCGCGUGGAGGAUGAAUGUCGUAAGAUUGUAAACUCCUGUUAGAGGGGAAGAAUAGUACCGGUUGGACCGGUAUAUGACUGUACCCUCAGAGAAAGCCCCGGCUAACUACGUGCCAGCAGCCGCGGUAAUACGUAGGGGGCAAGCGUUGUCCGGAUUUACUGGGUGUAAAGGGCGCGCAGACGGGAUAAAAAGUCAGUGGUGAAAUCCUACAGCUUAACUGUAGAACUGCCUUUGAUACUUUUAUUCUUGAGUUCGGGAGAGAGAGACGGAAUUCCAGGUGUAGUGGUGAAAUACGUAGAUAUCUGGAAGAACACUAGUUGCGAAGGCGGUCUCUUGGUCCGACACUGACGCUGAGGCGCGAAAGCGUGGGGAGCAAAC